CCCUUAGAUGUUCUGGGCCGCACACGCGCUACACUGAAGGAGGCAGCGUGUACUCCUGGAUCGAAAGAUUUGGGUAACCCGCGAAUCUCCUUCGUGCUAGGGAUUGAGGUUUGCAAUUAUCCUUCAUGAACGAGGAAUUCCCAGUAAGUGCAAGUCAUAAGCUUGCGCUGACUACGUCCCUGCCCUUUGUACACACCGCCCGUCGCUACUACCGAUUGAAUGAUUUAGUGAGGACUUCGGACUGGGACCGAUGCGGCUUUCGGGCUGCGUCGGUAUUCUAGAAAGAUGUCCAAACUGUAUCAUUUAGAGGAAGUAAAAGUCGUAACA
Molecule: ribosomal RNA, 327 nt
Filed under: uncultured eukaryote
Lineage: Eukaryota
Description: partial 18S ribosomal RNA
Rfam family: Eukaryotic small subunit ribosomal RNA
Source: RNAcentral